AUGGACGGGACCUGGACAAUCCUCUUCCUCCUGACAGCAGUCACAGGUGUCAGCUCACAAGUGCAGCUGGUGCAGCCAGGGGCUGAGCUGAGGGCGCCUGGGGCCUCGGUGAAGGUCUCCUGCAAGGCUUCUGGAUACACCCUCACCAGCUGUGCUGAGCUGGGGGCGACAGGCCCCUGGAAAGGGACUGGAGUCUAUGGGAUGGAUCAACACCGACACUGGGAAGCCAACAUAUGCCCAGGGCUUCUCGGACCGAUGUGUCUUCUCCAUGGACACUUCCAUCAGCACAGCCUAUCUGCAGAUCAGCAGCCUGAAGUCUGAGGACACGGCCACGUGUUACUGUGCGAGAGACACAGUGUGACCACCCACAUCUGGAGGGUGUCUGGAACCCCAGAGGACAGGGCAGCUGUGCUGGGCUGGGGCAGCGACAGGAGCACCUUGGGUGCAGCCUUCCUUUGACUUCAGGUUAUGAAUUUAAAGCUGAGAAAACAAGGGAACCUAGCUUUGGGAUUGUCAACAAACGUUUUUAGUGCUAGUUUGGAAAACCAGCUCUUGGGAGGGGAGGAGUAGGGAAACAGAACACGGCACCUGUUCUGGUGCUGCUUCCUGGUCUCCUUGGUGUAAAUACUGUCACCGUGGGGGAUGGGCGUGAGGCCACUGAACACGCAGUGCUCGGAGGGUGCUGGGUCCUCUCUCCUGAGCAGCCAGCUAACUCCCACGUGGUCAGAGACGAUGACCUUCAGUCUAGUCUGUGGGUGACACCUGG
Molecule: non-coding RNA, 766 nt
Organism: Vicugna pacos (alpaca)
Lineage: Eukaryota; Metazoa; Chordata; Mammalia; Artiodactyla; Camelidae
Source: the annotation of a RefSeq genome assembly